RNAcentral lists this ribosomal RNA (253 nucleotides) under uncultured bacterium. RNAcentral describes it as "partial 16S ribosomal RNA". It matches the Rfam family "Bacterial small subunit ribosomal RNA", at positions 524 to 776 of the family's 1533-position model. The record is from RNAcentral.
UACAGAGGUCUCAAGCGUUGUUCGGAUUCAUUGGGCGUAAAGGGUGCGUAGGCGGCGCGGUAAGUCGGGUGUGAAAUCUCGGAGCUUAACUCCGAAACUGCAUUCGAUACUGCCGUGCUUGAGGACUGGAGAGGAGACUGGAAUUUACGGUGUAGCGGUGAAAUGCGUAGAUAUCGUAAGGAAGACCAGUGGCGAAGGCGGCGCUCUGGACCGAGACUGACGCUGAGGCGCGAAAGCGUGGGGAGCAAACAGG